GUGGGGAAUUUUGGACAAUGGGGGCAACCCUGAUCCAGCCAUUCCGCGUGAGUGAAGAAGGCCUUCGGGUUGUAAAGCUCUUUCGUCAGGAACGAAACGGCGGGCUCUAACAUAGCCUGUUAAUGACGGUACCUAAAGAAGAAGCACCGGCUAACUACGUGCCAGCAGCCGCGGUAAUACGUAGGGUGCGAGCGUUAAUCGGAAUUACUGGGCGUAAAGCGUGCGCAGGCGGAUUGUUAAGCAAGACGUGAAAUCCCCGGGCUUAUCCUGGGAAUGGCGUUUUGAACUGGCAGUCUAGAGUGCGUCGGAGGGGGGUGGAAUUCCACGUGUAGCAGUGAAAUGCGUAGAGAUGUGGAGGAACACCGAUGGCGAAGGCAGCCCCCUGGGAUGACACUGACGCUCAUGUACGAAAGCGUGGGUAGCAAACAGGAUUAGAUACCCCGGUAGUCC
RNAcentral lists this ribosomal RNA (450 nucleotides) under uncultured bacterium. RNAcentral describes it as "partial 16S ribosomal RNA". It matches the Rfam family "Bacterial small subunit ribosomal RNA", at positions 354 to 796 of the family's 1533-position model. The record is from RNAcentral.